This 482-nucleotide ribosomal RNA is filed under the name uncultured bacterium. RNAcentral's name for it is "partial 16S ribosomal RNA". It matches the Rfam family "Bacterial small subunit ribosomal RNA", at positions 28 to 523 of the family's 1533-position model. The record is from RNAcentral.
GACGAACGCUGGCGGCGUGCUUAACACAUGCAAGUCGAACGAUGAAGAAGAGCUUGCUCUUCGGAUUAGUGGCGAACGGGUGAGUAACACGUGACUAACCUGCCCCUUUCUCUGGGAUAACGCUCCGAAAGGAGUGCUAAUACCGGAUACUCACAUCGAGGCACAUGCCUUGCUGUGGAAAGUUUUUCGGAAAGGGAUGGAGUCGCGGCCUAUCAGCUUGUUGGUGAGGUAACGGCUCACCAAGGCGACGACGGGUAGCCGGCCUGAGAGGGGGACCGGCCACACUGGGACUGAGACACGGCCCAGACUCCUACGGGAGGCAGCAGUGGGGAAUAUUGCACAAUGGGCGAAAGCCUGAUGCAGCGACGCCGCGUGAGGGAUGAAGGUCUUCGGAUUGUAAACCUCUUUCAGUAGGGACGAAGCGAAAGUGACGGUACCUAAAGAAGAAGUACCGGCUAACUACGUGCCAGCCGCCGCGGUAA